GCCGGCUCUCAGAGGGACUUCCCGAAGGUUGGGCUCAUGCUCAGAGCUCGGUGUCCUCUCUGGUGACGGUGGGCAGAGCUGCUUACUUCCUGGCCCUGGUGAGCCCUAAGGAACCCAAGAAGUGGGGAUGAGAGUGGCAGUUGGAGGCUCGAGGUGAGCCUCGAGCUGGCUGUGUGCUGAAGAGGAAUCCAGGAAUCCAGGAAUCCAAGGUCCAGGGUGAGACCGCUUGGUUCCUAACAUUUACCAGGACUGCACAGGAAAAAGAGUUAUUGAAUGAAAUGAAGUCAGCAGCCAGUACGACUUGGGUUUUCUCCCGUUUCUCCCACAAGGCCUGAAACAUGGAUGAAUUGGUUGUAGCUGAUGUUUACCUUUCCCACUCUGAUUCAUUAUCACAUGCAGGGAUUGGGCCUUGCUGCUGAGGACGGGAAAUUCGAGGCCAGGUCUGAGGACGAGUUUCCUGUGUCCUGGAGCAAGCAGAGCCUGCGCCUCCUGGGGCCGUGUGCAACAAAAGCGUGCGGAGCUCGUGGACGGAAAAGGACCAACCAGAGAAGACCAGGUGCACCAAUCAUGGAGGAUGCCCCGCCCCCAGUUGGUCUUUGUUUAUUUCUACUGAGAUGACUGACAAACAGGAAUGAUAUCUAAAACAUGUUGGUGGCGGAAAAAGUCAUUGAGAAAGCAAGCAGGAUCAAGGGCUAUAGACACAGGAUGGCCAUGUCUAGUAAGUAGCUGAGAAGGCCUGGGGGAGAGGGGAUAUUGGAGCAGUACAGGAAUGAGCGGGAGCCCUGAGGUACCCAGGAAGAGCCUUCCAGAUACAGAGCACAAGGAGAAGGGCUAGUUGGGGACAGAGAGAAGUGUGAGGAUCGGGGAGCCGACUUCAAAGAGGGGUGCUGGAUGCAGGGUCUGUGUGUAUGGGCUGUUGGGAUGGGUGGUCUGCAGCAUGGUAGUGAGGACUUCACACAUGACCCAGGGUCCCACGGCCACUGUCAGGACCUUAGCUUUUACUUUGAGCAUGACAGGAACCAUCGCAGGCUUUGAACAGAGUUUCUGUCCUGCAGAGGCCUUCUGAUGUGCAACUAGACUUCCUGUGGGCAAGGGACAAGGGUGGAAAGAGAGAGACCAAUGAGGUAGCUGUUGAGUAAGCAGACAGCAAGGGUAGGGGACAGUGGAAACCUACAGCCCCUUCAGAAAUGGAGUCUCAGAUAUGGACCAAGUCCUACCUUCUCCUGGGCCUGACUCCUGCCUCAGCCUCUCAGAGUGCUGGGAUUACAGGUGUGCACCACCAUGCCUGGCCCAUCCC
This 1297-nucleotide long non-coding RNA is filed under the name Heterocephalus glaber (naked mole-rat). Its description in RNAcentral is "lncRNA (ENSHGLG00000043217.1)". Lineage: Eukaryota; Metazoa; Chordata; Mammalia; Rodentia; Bathyergidae. The record is from RNAcentral.